UGAAAGUAAGGAUUGACGCAUACCCUGGUC
RNAcentral lists this non-coding RNA (30 nucleotides) under Mus musculus (house mouse). The record is from RNAcentral. Lineage: Eukaryota; Metazoa; Chordata; Mammalia; Rodentia; Muridae.